Pelobates cultripes (western spadefoot toad) is the source of this 258-nucleotide non-coding RNA. The record is from the annotation of a GenBank genome assembly. NCBI's taxonomy places the organism in Eukaryota, Metazoa, Chordata, Amphibia, Anura, Pelobatidae.
CUCACUCCCACCCACGCACAGCCAGUGUGUGUGUGUUUGUGUGUCUCUCACUCCCACCCACGCACAGCCAGUGUGUGUGUGUGUGUGUCUCUCACUCCCACCCACGCACAGCCAGUGUGUGUGUGUGUGUGUCUCACUCCCACCCACGCACAGCCAGUGUGUGUGUGUGUGUGUGUCUCACUCCCACCCACGCACAGCCAGUGUGUGUGUGUGUGUGUGUCUCUCACUCCCACCCACGCACAGCCAGUGUGUGUGUGU